Molecule: small nucleolar RNA, 78 nt
Filed under: Heterocephalus glaber (naked mole-rat)
Lineage: Eukaryota; Metazoa; Chordata; Mammalia; Rodentia; Bathyergidae
Description: Small nucleolar RNA SNORD66 (ENSHGLG00100033553.1)
Rfam family: Small nucleolar RNA SNORD66
About the family: snoRNA HBII-142 is part of the C/D family of snoRNAs. It is the human orthologue of the mouse MBII-142 snoRNA and is predicted to guide 2'O-ribose methylation of small 18S rRNA at residue C1272.
Source: RNAcentral
UGCCGCUGAUGACUUCCUGUUAGUGCCGCACGUGUCUGGGCCACUGAGACCCCAUGAUGGAACUGAGGAUCUGAGGAA